RNAcentral lists this ribosomal RNA (508 nucleotides) under uncultured bacterium. RNAcentral's name for it is "partial 16S ribosomal RNA". It matches the Rfam family "Bacterial small subunit ribosomal RNA", at positions 28 to 523 of the family's 1533-position model. The record is from RNAcentral.
GACGAACGCUGGCGGCGCGCUUAACACAUGCAAGUCGAGCGAGAACCAGGGCUUCGGCCCUGGGGACAGCGGCGAACGGGUGAGUAACACGUGGGUAAUCUGCCCUCGGCACCGGAAUAGCCCGGGGAAACCCGGAUUAAUGCCGGAUGGCCCCUUCACCUCGCGAGGUGUCGGGAAAAGGUAGCUUCGGCCUCGGGCCGAGGAUGAGCCGGCGGCGGAUUAGCUUGUUGGGGGGGUAACGGCCCACCGAGGCGACGAUCCGUAGCUGGUCUGAGAGGACGAUCAGCCACACUGGGACGGAGACACGGCCCAGACUCCUACGGGAGGCAGCAGUGGGGAGUCUUGCGCAAUGGGCGAAAGCCUGACGCAGCGACGCCGCGUGAGGGAAGAAGGCCUUCGGGUUGUAAACCUCUUGCAGGAGGGACGAAGCUACUCGGGUGAAUAGCCCAGAGGGUGACGGUACCUCCAGAAGAAGCCCCGGCUAACUACGUGCCAGCCGCCGCCGUAA